AUUGAACGCUGGCGGCAGGCCUAACACAUGCAAGUCGAGCGGAUGAAGGGAGCUUGCUCCUGGAUUCAGCGGCGGACGGGUGAGUAAUGCCUAGGAAUCUGCCUGGCAGUGGGGGAUAACGUCCGGAAACGGGCGCUAAUACCGCAUACGUCCUGAGGGAGAAAGUGGGGGAUCUUCGGACCUCACGCUAUCAGAUGAGCCUAGGUCGGAUUAGCUAGUUGGUGGGGUAAAGGCCUACCAAGGCGACGAUCCGUAACUGGUCUGAGAGGAUGAUCAGUCACACUGGAACUGAGACACGGUCCAGACUCCUACGGGAGGCAGCAGUGGGGAAUAUUGGACAAUGGGCGAAAGCCUGAUCCAGCCAUGCCGCGUGUGUGAAGAAGGUCUUCGGAGUGUAAAGCACUUUAAGUUGGGAGGAAGGGCAGUAAGUUAAUACCUUGCUGUUUGGACGUUACCAACAGAAUAAGCACCGGCUAACUUCGU
Molecule: ribosomal RNA, 483 nt
Filed under: uncultured bacterium
Lineage: Bacteria
Description: partial 16S ribosomal RNA
Rfam family: Bacterial small subunit ribosomal RNA
Source: RNAcentral